CAGUCGCCGCGGGAAUACGUAGGUGGCAAGCGUUGUCCGGAAUUAUUGGGCGCAAAGGGCUCGCAGGCGGUUUCUUAAGUCUGAUGUGAAAGCCCCCGGCUCAACCGGGGAGGGUCAUUGGAAACUGGGAAACUUGAGUGCAGAAGAGGAGAGUGGAAUUCCACGUGUAGCGGUGAAACGCGUAGAGAUGUGGAGGAACACCAGUGGCGAAGGCGACUCUCUGGUCUGUAACUGACGCUGAGGAGCGAAAGCGUGGGGAGCGAACAGGAUUAGAUACCCCCGUAGUCCCUGUCUCUUAUAC
This 301-nucleotide ribosomal RNA is filed under the name uncultured bacterium. RNAcentral describes it as "partial 16S ribosomal RNA". It matches the Rfam family "Bacterial small subunit ribosomal RNA", at positions 509 to 807 of the family's 1533-position model. The record is from RNAcentral.